UAUUGUCCUCUUCUGGCCAUUAGCAUUUCUCUGAUGUUGUCUUCUGCAUCUUUCACACUGCGUUCUAAGUAGGAUUUUCGUUGCUGAAGUUAUUUGAUCUUU
Molecule: non-coding RNA, 102 nt
Organism: Chiloscyllium plagiosum (whitespotted bambooshark)
Lineage: Eukaryota; Metazoa; Chordata; Chondrichthyes; Orectolobiformes; Hemiscylliidae
Source: RefSeq, a predicted model, not a curated record